Fragaria vesca subsp. vesca is the source of this 1709-nucleotide RNA transcript. RefSeq lists it as uncharacterized. The transcript is spliced from 8 exons. The record is from RefSeq and is a predicted model, not a curated record. Lineage: Eukaryota; Viridiplantae; Streptophyta; Magnoliopsida; Rosales; Rosaceae.
GGCCUCUCAGAUUAUACCCAACUUCAUCAACCUUCUCUCUAGCUGCUAAAAGCAGCUUGAGUGAUAACAGCUCCUAUGAGAAACAACAUGAAUAAGCUAGAGGAUCAGAAACACCAUUCUAGUAGUAGUGAUGUCAGUCCACUUAGUGAUCUUUGGACUGAUGGACUCAUUUGUGCAUUUGAAUUUGUUCGAGGGGAUAAAAAGGUGCUGGCAGCUCAUUAUGUUGUAAAAGAUGCAGCAAACAAGCAAGUUCUGUCACCUGAGCGGACUGAAUCCCAUCACUCAAGAAAGAAUGUAAAACACUCAUGUGAAUCCUCACCGAAAAGUGGUUCAGGAGUUGGUCAGAAUCGAAAGGAAGAAGGCCUUAACUACAAACAGAAUUCUCACUCGGGCCAUUUCCGUGGGAGAGAAGGUCCUCCCAAAAGUUGUUGGGUACCGAUUGGCUGGGAUAGGAUUUCUGAACUUUUCCAGACAGUGCACGUUGAUGAUGGCUGGGACUUGCAGCCUAUGGAGUUUGCAAGCGAUGAUGAUGAUGUCGCUGUAGCAGAUGUGGCAGCUCCUUACUGGGAGAAACCGGUAGGGCCCACUUGGUGGUGUCACGUAGCUGCUGAUCAUCCAUGCAUCAAUUCAUGGGUGAGUACUGCUCAAUGGCUGCAUCCUGCUGUCAGCAUUGCGUUGCGAGAUGAAAGUAGGUUGAUAAGUGAUCUGAUGAAGCACCUUCUGUAUGAGGUUCCUGUAAGGGUUGCUAGUGGACUAUUAUUUGAGCUCCUGGGCCAGUCAGUAGGUGAUCCAUUUGCUGAUGAAGAUGACAUUCCCAUUGUUCUUAGAUCAUGGCAGGCACAGAAUUUUCUAGUAUCAGCAUUGCAUGUGAAAAGUUCUGCACAGAACAUUAAUGUGUUGGGAAUAGCAGAAGUCCAGGAGCUGCUUGCUGCUGAGGGCAUUACCAUGCCACGUACUAUUCAUGAAGUUAUAGCACAUUUAGCCUGCCGCCUAGCAUGCUGGGAUGAUAGGUUAUUUCGCAAAUCUGUAUUUUGGGCGGCAGAUGAAGUUGUACUGAAGUUUAUGAACAGGAGGAGCCAUGAAGAUAUGCACCUGUUCAGUAUAAUUUUGAACCAAGAAUUCCGAAGGUUAUCAACCCAGGUUAUAAGAGUGAAGUGGUUGCUACAUGCAAGAGAAGAAAUUGUUUUUGAGCUUCUUCGGCACUUGAGAGGGGAUGCCACAAGGCAGUUGCUAGAACAACUAAGAAAGAAUACAAGGGGGUCGAUUGAAGAGCAAGAAGCAGUUUUUGGUCGCUUGUUUACCAUUCAAAAUAUGAUGCAGAGCACUGUUUAUGCAUGGUUACAGGACAAAAGCCUAACAGUUCAACAUAAUCUGGGAGUUUUUGGCGGUUGUGGCCUUGUCCUAUCUAUUAUUACGGGACUUUUGGGAUCAAUGUAGAUGGCAUACCCGGAGCUGCAGAAACACCAUAUGCAUUUGGUCUAUUUUCUGCCGCUCUGGUCUUCUUGGGGGUUUUACUAAUUGGAAUUGGAUUGGCUUAUCUUGGGUUGAAGAAACCCAUUGUUGAGGAGGAUGCUGAAGUAAGAAAACUAGAGCUCCAAGAGCUGGUUAAAGUUGUUUCGGCAGGAAGCAGAAUCUCCCAGAACCAACCCAACUGCUGCUGCACGAUUCCUGAAUGGUGCAGGUUAUGCUCUCAUCAGUUGAACUACUAG